CCAAUAGCGUAUAUUAAAGUUGUUGCAGUUAAAAAGCUCGUAGUUGAAUUUCGGGGUCAAUAAGUUGGUCGUGCCAAUGGUAUGUACUGGCUUUAUUGAUUCCUACCUCUUGACGAACUGUGAUGCCAUUAAUUUGGUGUUGCAGGAAAUCAGGACUGUUACCUUGAAAAAAUUAGAGUGUUUAAAGCAGGCUUACGCUUGAAUACAUUAGCAUGGAAUAAUGAAAUAGGACGUUUGAACCUAUUUUGUUGGUUUCUAGGAUCGACGUAAUGAUUAAUAGGGAUAGUUGGGGGCAUUAGUAUUCAAUUGUCAGAGGUGAAAUUCUUGGCUUUAUUGAAGACUAACUACUGCGAAAGCAUUUGCCAAGGAUGUUUUCAUUAAUCAAGAACGAAAGUUAGGGGAUCGAAGACGGUCAGAUACCGUCGUAGUCUUAACCAUAAACUAUGCCGACUAGGGAUCGGAUGAUGUUAAUUUUUUAAUGACUCAUUCGGCGCCUUACG
This 500-nucleotide ribosomal RNA is filed under the name uncultured Glomeromycotina. Its description in RNAcentral is "partial small subunit ribosomal RNA". It matches the Rfam family "Eukaryotic small subunit ribosomal RNA", at positions 591 to 1092 of the family's 1831-position model. The record is from RNAcentral. Lineage: Eukaryota; Fungi; Glomeromycota.